Molecule: non-coding RNA, 100 nt
Organism: Brassica napus (rape)
Lineage: Eukaryota; Viridiplantae; Streptophyta; Magnoliopsida; Brassicales; Brassicaceae
Source: Rfam
GUUUAGAGGAAUGUUGUCUGGCUCGAGGUCAUGAAGAGUCGAUAUUUAACGAAAUACAAAACUCUAUAUGAUUCUCGGACCAGGCUUCAUCCCCCUCAAC